GAAAUGCACUGCAGACGUGAGUUGGUUUGCCAGCUGUCACUAAAUGAAAAGAAGAGGAAGACGUGCUCUUUCACUUCUUCACUACUUGUGUUGUUUGUGAUUCAUGUUUGACUUGAUGCGGCAGCUUCAGCACUUCCAGAACAGAACAAAAGAUUCAAAGGGAAACUAGUUGAACUCGUUCUAAUGGCAUUAAAGUCAACCUGACUGCUGCUGAAUUCAAGACUGAAAUCACUCGAGUUUCUGUCAGUUCUGUCAUGAAUGUGUCCACGAGGAUCAUCAGACCGGACUGUGUUCCUCUUGAAGUCCACUCACAGCAUUAAAGUCAACCUGACUGCUGCUGAAUUCAAGACUGAAAUCACUCGAGUUUCUGUCAGUUCUGUCAUGAAUGUGUCCACGAGGAUCAUCAGACCGGACUGUGUUCCUCUUGAAGUCCACUCACAGGCAAACUGAAGAGGAUCCAGCAAGGGGCCAGUGAUGUCCUUCGUGUAGGCCAACAUCAGUUAUCAGUUCAGGUAACAACAGUUUUCAGGAGCACAGUGGAAUAGAGUUCCUCUUAUCUCCUCAUUAUUUUCUUGACACAACUGAAGAGGUUUUUUUCUUCUCUCCGUUGAACUUUUUCUGGAGGAAUCACUUGGCCCGGCUCGCUAGAUCCACCUUUCCAUGAUCCCCCCGUCAGCAUGGGAUGAUUGUCAUGAAACUGCUCCCAUGAUUUCAAGUGCUGCAUCAGGAGGAUGUUGUGAAAAAACAUGUCAGGAUACCUGAUCACUUCAGAGAACAAAACUGCACAUAGUGCAAUGGCGUCUUGAGGAGUCUGUAUGUAACGGUCGACUUUGGCACGGUUCCCAUUCAUGUAGAACCAAACUGUCUCACCAAAAUGUUUAUUGAACUCUUUUGAUGUUUUCAGCGUUGCAUAAGAAAGUCUUUUGUCUGAAAGAUGCAUGUCAGUACAGUACAGAUCGUUUGGUCGCAUCUGUAUCAUGAAUUUACCAACUAAAAAGUCAGUGGCCCGCAUGUCCUUUUUAUCCCAAGAUUCAAUGAGAAAACAUAUUAUUGCAACAUAAUGAGGAAAACUUGUUAUUCUGAUCGGUGCUCGCCAUAUGUUGUCAGCGACUGAGUCCUGGGGAAUGUCUCGAAUUGUUGCAGCAGAACACCCUUCCCAGGAAGUGUGCACUUUAAACGCUCCAUCCAGCAUUUUUGCAGAGGGACUUCCAACAUUUGUCCUUAGAUGAAAUAUAUCAAUACGGUCGCUCAGAAAGUUCAUCUCUUUCAUCUUCUCUGGAUGGAAGGACAGAAGGACUUCUGGCUUGUGGUCGUUCCCCUCGAACCUGGACUGCAUGAAUGCCAAAUGCAGAGCCGUGCGCAGAUAUUAUUUCUUCAGAAGCAGUAGCCGAAAUUUAGCCCAAAUAUUGUUCACUGAUUAUCAUUAAUAGUUGAAAUAUUCUUCAGUCUUUAUCCAAAUAUUGUUCAGUGGUUAUCAUUAAUAGUUGAAAUAUUCUUCAGACUUUCUCCAAAUAUUGUUCAGUGGUUAUCAUUAAUAGUUGAAAUAUUCUUCAGACUUUCUCCAAAUAUUGUUCAGUGGUUAUCAUUAAUAGUUGAAAUAUUCUUCAGUC
This is a long non-coding RNA of Carassius carassius (crucian carp), 1610 nucleotides long. RefSeq lists it as uncharacterized. The record is from RefSeq and is a predicted model, not a curated record. The transcript is spliced from 4 exons. NCBI's taxonomy places the organism in Eukaryota, Metazoa, Chordata, Actinopteri, Cypriniformes, Cyprinidae.